UUGGGAAACUGCCUGAUGGAGGGGGAUAACUACUGGAAACGGUAGCUAAUACCGCAUAACGUCGCAAGACCAAAGAGGGGGACCUUCGGGCCUCUUGCCAUCGGAUGUGCCCAGAUGGGAUUAGCUAGUAGGUGGGGUAACGGCUCACCUAGGCGACGAUCCCUAGCUGGUCUGAGAGGAUGACCAGCCACACUGGAACUGAGACACGGUCCAG
This 214-nucleotide ribosomal RNA is filed under the name uncultured bacterium. Its description in RNAcentral is "partial 16S ribosomal RNA". It matches the Rfam family "Bacterial small subunit ribosomal RNA", at positions 117 to 334 of the family's 1533-position model. The record is from RNAcentral.